UGACUUUCGGAGGAGGUAAUGACCAGUUCCAUUGAUGCCUUAUGGUAUUGUGGAUAGGGGUACGGUUUUCCACCGUACCGAAACCUAGCAGAGGGCCAGUCUGGUGCCAGCAGCUGCGGUAAUUCCAGCUCUGCGAGUUUGCUCCCAUAUUGUUGCAGUUAAAACGCCCGUAGUCUGAAUUGGCCAGCAAUGGUCGUAUGUAUUUAUACGUUCACUGUGAACAAAUCAGGACGCUUAGAGUAUGGCUACAUGAAUGACUCAGCGCAGUAUGAAGUCUUUGUUUUCUUCCGAAAACAAGCUCAACGAGAGCCAUCGGGGGUAGAUCUAUCUCAUGACGAGUGGUGGAAUACUUUGACUCAUGAGAGAGAAUCUGAGGCGAAGGCGUCUACCUAGAGGGUUUCUGUCGAUCAAGGGCGAGAGUAGGAGUAUCCAACAGGAUUAGAGACCCUGGUAGUUCCUACCUUAAACGAUGCCGACAGGAGUUUGUCACUUGUUAGUGGCAGAAUCUUUGGAGAAAUCAUAGUUCUUGGGCUCUGGGGGAACUACGACCGCAAGGCUGAAACUUGAAGGAAUUGACGGAAGGGCACACCAGGGGUGGAGCCUGUGGCUUAAUUUGAAUCAACACGGGGAAACUUACCAGGACCAGAUGUUUUUUAUGACUGACAGGCUUUGGGUCUUUCAGGAUAUUGCUUUUGGUGGUGCAUGGCCGUUGGUGGUGCGUGGGUUGACCUGUCUAGCGUUGAUUCAGCUAACGAGCGAGAUUAUCGCCAAUUAUAUACUUCGUCUAAGUCUUUAGAUAGAAGUUCUAAUUGGGACUCCCUGCGAUUUUAGCAGGUGGAAGAGGGUAGCAAUAACAGGUCCGUGAUGCCCUUUAGAUGCUCUGGGCUGCACGCGUGCUACAAUGUUAGGAUCAAUAGGACUGCAAAGCCGAGAGGCCGCGCUACUCUUAUAAUCCCUAACGUAGUUGGGAUUGACGUUUGUAAUCAGCGUCAUGAACCAGGAAUCCCUUGUAAAUGUGUGUCAACAACGCACGUUGAAUACGUCCCUGCCCUUUGUACACACCGCCCGUCGCUCCUACCGAUUGGAUGACUCGGUGAAAUCACCGGAUGCUUACGAGCAGAAAGUGAU
Molecule: ribosomal RNA, 1128 nt
Filed under: Trichomonas gallinae
Lineage: Eukaryota; Parabasalia; Trichomonadida; Trichomonadidae
Description: SSU rRNA
Rfam family: Eukaryotic small subunit ribosomal RNA
Source: RNAcentral